CAGUCGAACGGAACUGUUUUGAAAGAUUUCUUCGGAAUGAAUUUGAUUUAGUUCAGUGGCGGACGGGUGAGUAACGCGUGAGUAACCUGCCUUCAAGAGGGGGAUAACAUUCUGAAAAGAAUGCUAAUACCGCAUGAUAUAUCGGAACCACAUGGUUUUGAUAUCAAAGAUUUUAUCGCUUGAAGAUGGACUCGCGUCCGAUUAGUUAGUUGGUGAGGUAACGGCUCACCAAGACCGCGAUCGGUAGCCGGACUGAGAGGUUGAACGGCCACAUUGGGACUGAGACACGGCCCAAACUCCUACGGGAGGCAGCAGUGGGGAAUAUUGCACAAUGGGGGAAACCCUGAUGCAGCGACGCCGCGUGAAGGAAGAAGUAUCUCGGUAUGUAAACUUCUAUCAGCAGGGAAGAUAAUGACGGUACCUGACUAAGAAGCCCCGGCUAACUACGUGCCAGCAGCCGCGGUAAUACGUAGGGGGCAAGCGUUAUCCGGAUUUACUGGGUGUAAAGGGGGCGUAGGCGGCGGAGCAAGUCAGAAGUGAAAGCCCGGGGCUCAACCCCGGGACGGCUUUUGAAACUGCCCUGCUUGAUUUCAGGAGAGGUAAGCGGAAUUCCUAGUGUAGCGGUGAAAUGCGUAGAUAUUAGGAGGAACACCAGUGGCGAAGGCGGCUUACUGGACUGACAAUGACGCUGAGGCUCGAAAGCGUGGGGAGCAAACAGGAUUA
This 723-nucleotide ribosomal RNA is filed under the name uncultured bacterium. RNAcentral describes it as "bacterial SSU rRNA". It matches the Rfam family "Bacterial small subunit ribosomal RNA", at positions 59 to 780 of the family's 1533-position model. The record is from RNAcentral.